CUUGGAAGCAGGCGUUGGAGGGGCGGGGUAGGGCCGGGCCGAGAGAAACCACUGGGGAGGGUCUGGGGUCGGGGCUUUGCCAUCAGUGGUGUGAGGAGCAGGCCGGGGCAGUGGGCAAUUGAGCGAGGAACAGCUGCGGGAGGACUCCGCGGACUCCUGAGAACCAGCUUAGGGGAGCGGCGGCUUGGGGAGGUGUAGGGUGGAAUCACGAGAAAGCUCUGUGGGAGGGCCUGGUGCACAGCUCAGCUGCAGGGUGGAGCUGAGGGAAAGCCGGGCGUUCCUGGAGGAGGAGCAGGGCGAGGCUGUGGCAAAGCGCUGUGGGAGCAGAUGGGGCGGGGCUGCGGGAAAGAGCUGGAGAAGGAGGAGCCAAGCUGCACCAAGGCUGGCGGGUGAGAAUUGCGGGGGAGGAGCUAGUGCAGAGCUGGAGGAAAGAGCUGAAAGGUUGUUGGGGUGGGCAGAGGGGUAGGAGAAGCGAGACGGGGCUAGAGGAGGCGGAGCUGGGAGCGGUGAUGAAGGGGUAGCAGGGCGGGGCAGUGGGAAAGAGCUGUGGGAGGAGGAGCUGGGGGUAAGAAGCUGGGGCUGUGGCUGCAGCGGGGACUGGGUCAGAGCUUCUGGAGGAGCCGCCUGCAAGAGGAGGGCGUAGUUGUGGGAAAGAGCUGUGGGCGGAAAUGGUUAAGUGCCGGGUGGAGCAGGGGCUGGCGUCGGAAUAGCUGGGGCGGAGCUGCGGGAGGAGGAGCUGGGGGGCGGAACUGUGGGAGGAACAGCUGGGGCGGAGCUGAGGGAGGAGGAGCAGGGGGGCAGAACAGCUGGGGUGGAGCUGUGGGCGGAGCUGCAAGAGGAGAAGUUGGGGACGGACUUGCAGGAGGAAAAGCUAGGGGUGGAGCUGUGGGUGGAGUUGGGGGAGGGAGCUGAGGCCCUUCUGUGAUGCACCCUUAGGCAAGAGUCCAAACUUUCCCGCGGCGACCUAACUGCACCUCCAGUGUCUUCCCCCAGAGGGCACAGAAGCAGCAAGAAGGGCGGGAACACUUGACUGGGGUCCAUGCAGCUCUAGGCUGAGUCUUGCAGGGCUGAGCCCCCCAGGCCUGCUCUCCUGUGUCCUGGCCGCUCCGUCAGUGCCUGCCAGUGGGGUCCAGAGGGACCGUUUUUUUAACGCCUCUUUUGCAGGUAAUGAGAAACAUCCCCACUCUUAAUGUCUUGCCUCCUCCGGCCUAAGUCGCCCAGCACACAGCCCAACUUCCCUGGCAAACUUGCUUUUCAAACUCUCUUCUCUCAGUCACGGGCUCAGGUUCUGUAGUGCUGCCAUGCUUUACUCCUCUGUCCCUCCCCUUAUCUAGUCUCCCGCAUUGACUUCAUAACCAAGUUCUGGGUCCCUGCCUCUGGAGUGCCUGAUGAGACAAAACGGCUCCUCGUCCUGCAUCCCCGCUGCUACUUCCAGAAUUCAGGCCUCGUGGUCUGGAGCCUGCACUGUUCCAUGAGCCUCCUGAGCAACCUGGAGUCCUCUGUCUUUCUUCCCUCAGUGAGAUGCGCCUACUUCUCCCUGGAGAAGCUUGAGGAAGCAGAAAUGCUGGAGAUGAGGUGAGGAGGAGAGGGUCCCUCUUUAUGGGAUGUAGGCCGUAGGGCUGCAGGGGACCUUCAGAUCACCAGUUCCAAGUCCUAUGUAUGCUAGCAUCCCCUCCUGGGUUCCUUCCCCACAAGAAUGGUUGCCAGCUUCUGCCGAACACCCCAGAAUCUGCUUAGAGUGGUUUCAGAUCAUGAAUGAGGAUCCCCGGGAUGG
Molecule: long non-coding RNA, 1774 nt
Filed under: Homo sapiens (human)
Lineage: Eukaryota; Metazoa; Chordata; Mammalia; Primates; Hominidae
Description: non-protein coding LINC00894:5
Source: RNAcentral